Molecule: ribosomal RNA, 465 nt
Filed under: Vreelandella stevensii
Lineage: Bacteria; Pseudomonadati; Pseudomonadota; Gammaproteobacteria; Oceanospirillales; Halomonadaceae
Description: partial 16S ribosomal RNA
Rfam family: Bacterial small subunit ribosomal RNA
Source: RNAcentral
CCUACGGGUGGCAGCAGUGGGGAAUAUUGGACAAUGGGCGAAAGCCUGAUCCAGCCAUGCCGCGUGUGUGAAGAAGGCCUUCGGGUUGUAAAGCACUUUCAGUGGGGAAGAAAGCCUUGGGGCUAAUACCCUCGAGGAAGGACAUCACCCACAGAAGAAGCACCGGCUAACUCCGUGCCAGCAGCCGCGGUAAUACGGAGGGUGCGAGCGUUAAUCGGAAUUACUGGGCGUAAAGCGCGCGUAGGCGGUCUGAUAAGCCGGUUGUGAAAGCCCCGGGCUCAACCUGGGAACGGCAUCCGGAACUGUCAGGCUAGAGUGCAGGAGAGGAAGGUAGAAUUCCCGGUGUAGCGGUGAAAUGCGUAGAGAUCGGGAGGAAUACCAGUGGCGAAGGCGGCCUUCCGGACUGACACUGACGCUGAGGUGCGAAAGCGUGGGUAGCAAACAGGAUUAGAUACCCGAGUAGUC